AGCACAACCCCUACCACUAGCACAACCCCUACCACAACCUCUACCCCAACCUCUACCACUACCACAACCCCUACCACUACCACCUCCACAAAUCCUACCACGUUAUGUUUUUGCACGUAUAAAAAUCUACCUUUCCCUACUGGUUCCUUGAAAUAUAAUGAGACUGACGGGGCAGGCUGGUGUUUCACCUCUUACUGUAACUCAAGUUGUGUUGUUGAGAGACAAGCCAGACCAUGUCCCUGUACGACCCCAGCUACAGUCAGCACUGUCUCAGCUAGUCAGCACUGUCUCAACUACAGUCAGCACUGUCUCAGCUAGUCAGCACUGUCUCAGCUAGUCAGCACUGUCUCAACUACAGUCAGCACUGUCUCAACUACAGUCAGCACUGUCUCAACUACAGUCAGCACUGUCUCAGCUAGUCAGCACUGUCUCAGCUAGUCAGCACUGUCUCAGCUACAGUCAGCACUGUCUCAGCUAGUCAGCACUGUCUCAGCUACAGUCAGCACUGUCUCAGCUACAGUCAGCACUGUCUCAGCUACAGUCAGCACUGUCUCAACUACAGUCAGCACUGUCUCAGCUACAGUCAGCACUGUCUCAACUACAGUCAGCACUGUCUCAGCUAGUCAGCACUGUCUCAACUACAGUCAGCACUGCCUCAACUACAGUCAGCACUGUCUCAGCUAGUCAGCACUGUCUCAACUACAGUCAGCACUGUCUCAACUACAGUCAGCGAUGUCUCAACAACAACAGAAGCUACACAUU
This is a long non-coding RNA of Oncorhynchus tshawytscha (Chinook salmon), 762 nucleotides long. RefSeq lists it as uncharacterized. The transcript is spliced from 2 exons. The record is from RefSeq and is a predicted model, not a curated record. Lineage: Eukaryota; Metazoa; Chordata; Actinopteri; Salmoniformes; Salmonidae.